RNAcentral lists this transfer RNA (71 nucleotides) under Stegodyphus mimosarum. It matches the Rfam family "tRNA". Rfam says of the family: Transfer RNA (tRNA) molecules are approximately 80 nucleotides in length. The record is from Rfam by way of RNAcentral. Lineage: Eukaryota; Metazoa; Arthropoda; Arachnida; Araneae; Eresidae.
GCUUUCCUGGUGCAAAGGCCGCACACUUGGCUUGUAUUCAAGAGGUCCAGAUUCGAAUUCCGGCGAGGGCA